Molecule: ribosomal RNA, 393 nt
Filed under: uncultured bacterium
Lineage: Bacteria
Description: partial 16S ribosomal RNA
Rfam family: Bacterial small subunit ribosomal RNA
Source: RNAcentral
AUACGGAGGAUCCGAGCGUUAUCCGGAUUUAUUGGGUUUAAAGGGUGCGUAGGCGGUUUGCUAAGCGGGAGGUGAAAUGCCGGCGCUCAACGUCGGAAGUGCCUCCCGAACUGGUGGACUGGAAUGACUCUGCCGUGGGAGGAAUGUGUAGUGUAGCGGUGAAAUGCUUAGAGAUUACACAGAACACCGAUUGCGAAGGCAUCUCACGAAGGGUUGAUUGACGCUGAGGCACGAAAGCGUGGGGAUCAAACAGGAUUAGAUACCCUGGUAGUCCACGCAGUAAACGAUGAUGGCUAACCGCUGGGCUUAUCAGUUCAGUGGCCAAGCGAAAGCGAUAAGCCAUCCACCUGUGGAGUACGACCGCAAGGUUGAAACUUAAAGGAAUUGACGGGG